This 85-nucleotide transfer RNA is filed under the name Peribacillus frigoritolerans. Its description in RNAcentral is "tRNA-Val". The record is from RNAcentral. Lineage: Bacteria; Bacillati; Bacillota; Bacilli; Caryophanales; Bacillaceae.
UGUUACCUUAGUAUAAUGAAUUAUGCGUCGUAAUGACGCUGUGAAAUUGGUAUUACUUUUGCCGUGCUAGACGGGGAGGUAGCGG